RNAcentral lists this long non-coding RNA (1239 nucleotides) under Anas platyrhynchos platyrhynchos (common mallard). RNAcentral's name for it is "lncRNA (ENSAPLG00000020248.1)". The record is from RNAcentral. Lineage: Eukaryota; Metazoa; Chordata; Aves; Anseriformes; Anatidae.
AUGGCCAGCAGGCGGGCCACCUCCUCCCCGGAGCUGGCGGCCGGAGCCCCUGGGUCGAGGCCCGGCGCCGCGUCCCCCGGCCCGCAGCCUGUCCGUAACUCCCCGGGGGGAGCCCGCCACCUCCGCAGCCAGUCCCGGAGGCGCUGGCAAGUCCCGGCCGCCCCGAGCAGCCCCCACGUCCUGCGGAGGCCGGUGGCGUCGAGGAACGCCGCGAGCCGGGUCCGGCCCAGCCUGGCCACGCCGGCGGCCACGGCGCGCCAGCAGAGCCGCAGGCAGCCCAGCAGCAGCACGAGGAGCAGCAGCAGCAGCGCGCAGAGCAUCCACAGCAGGCGCCGCGCCACCUCCGCCCCGGCCCGCAGCCCCCGGGCCGCCCGCAGCCACCCGCUGCGUGCCCGCUGCCCCACGCGCCGGCCCCAGCUGCGCACGGUGCCCGGUGCUGGAGCCGUCUCCGUCCCCGUCAUCGUUGCCGUCGUCUUCCGUGGUGGCGGCCGCCGGUCGCAGGCCGCAGCUCCCGUUCCAGGCGGCGCUGCCCGGGGGGGCCCGGCCGCCCCCCCCCCCCCCCUCCUCCUCCUCCUCCUCCUCCUCCUCCUCCUGCCCCGGCCCCGGGCGGUUCCCGGUUCCCGCCGCCGCCCCCCUCGGCCUCGGCCGCUGCCCCGCGGCCCGGCGGGGGCUGAGCCAUGGCGGCGGCCCCGGGAGUUAGGUCACCGCCAUCGCCCCUGCAGCCGGGAGCGGAGUCAGCGGGGCCCGGGGGUAACGGAGGGAACCGGGGGGGAACCGGGAGGGUGGGGGCCGCUACCGGGGGGACCGGCGGGGGAACCGGGGGCUGGGAGCGGCCGCGGGAGGCAGGCCCGGGGCGGCCCCCGGGGCCCCGCCGCGCUCCCCGAGCGGUGCCGGUGCCGGUGCCGGUGCCGGCGGGGGGGGCCCCGCCCCCUCAGCGAAGCCCCGCCCCCUUUAACCCCUUCGGUGCCGGGCGCGGAGUCGCCGUCCCGCGCUGCCCCCGGGCGGGGCUGGGACCGGGGCUGGGGCUGGGCCCGGGCUGCCCCACGCGUGUCCGUGCCCCCGACGUGCCCGCGCCCCCCUGUGUGCCCCGGUCCCAUGGCAGGUCCCAGCCCCACGACGGGCACCGGCCCCCCACGCGUGUUCGUGUCCCCACGCGUGUCCCCAAAACCCCGCGUGUCCCCUCCCCACGCGUGUCCCCUCCCCCACGCGUGUCCGUGUCCCUCGUGAGCUUCUGCCCCC